This 245-nucleotide ribosomal RNA is filed under the name uncultured bacterium. Its description in RNAcentral is "partial 16S ribosomal RNA". It matches the Rfam family "Bacterial small subunit ribosomal RNA", at positions 524 to 768 of the family's 1533-position model. The record is from RNAcentral.
UACGUAGGGUGCAAGCGUUGUUCGGAAUCAUUGGGCGUAAAGCGCGUGUAGGUGGUUAGGAAAGUUGGAUGUGAAAUCCCUGGGCCCAACCCAGGAAGAGCAUCCAAAACUCCCUAGCUAGAGGGCGAGAGAGGGUGGUGGAAUUCCUAGUGUAGAGGUGAAAUUCGUAGAUAUUAGGAGGAAUACCGGUGGCGAAGGCGGCCACCUGGAUCGUUCCUGACACUGAGACGCGAAAGCGUGGGUAG